CAGUCGCCGCGGUAAUACGUAGGGUGCAAGCGUUAAUCGGAAUUACUGGGCGUAAAGCGUGCGCAGGCGGUUAUAUAAGACAGAUGUGAAAUCCCCGGGCUCAACCUGGGAACUGCAUUUGUGACUGUAUAGCUAGAGUACGGCAGAGGUGGAUGGAAUUCCGCGUGUAGCAGUGAAAUGCGUAGAUAUGCGGAGGAACACCGAUGGCGAAGGCAAUCCCCUGGGCCUGUACUGACGCUCAUGCACGAAAGCGUGGGGAGCAAACAGGAUUAGAUACCCCCGUAGUCCCUGUCUCUUAUAC
This 301-nucleotide ribosomal RNA is filed under the name uncultured bacterium. RNAcentral describes it as "partial 16S ribosomal RNA". It matches the Rfam family "Bacterial small subunit ribosomal RNA", at positions 509 to 807 of the family's 1533-position model. The record is from RNAcentral.